RNAcentral lists this long non-coding RNA (219 nucleotides) under Solanum tuberosum (potato). RNAcentral's name for it is "long non-coding RNA (STUB_LNC009944)". Lineage: Eukaryota; Viridiplantae; Streptophyta; Magnoliopsida; Solanales; Solanaceae. The record is from RNAcentral.
UCUUUUGGAGUCUAUCAUGAAUCAAACAGACAUCCUUACCUGUUAUCCAACCAAGCAAGCAACUUUAGGAGGUACAUUGAUCCUACAGAUCAUUUUCCAAGGGCUACUCUAAUCCCAGCAGGUAGUUUGUUUUUGUAAGUUAAUGUAUAGCUUUUAACAGAGAACUCUCAUUCUUGCUUAUCAAAUAACUUAAUCCUUUCUUCCUGAGUCUAUAGAAAC